GUCCGCAAGUAUCAAACUCCAAACAAAUCGCUUUACUAAACAAAUCGGCAAUCUGUGCACGAAUUAACAAACAUAAUGCUAAUUUAAUAAACGAAAACAUUUUUCUGGCUUAACCAAAGCAUGAUAAUUGAGCUUCCACAUUUUUACACGAAAAAUUCAUCAGUAAAAUAACUCGAAAUCUCCAAGGAUUAUAUUUUAAUUUACGAUGUUCAGUAUUUAACCCCCCUCUCACCUUUGAACCAUCCCUCAAAUGGUCGUGAUUAAUUAUAAUUAAUGCUUUUUGAAUUAAUGAAAUAAUGCGACUGCCUGAUAAUGUCAGGUCGGCAGAAAUAAUAUUUAUUGGUCUUCUGGUCCUUUUAUCUAAGAAGCUCAGUUUUCAUUGAUAUCGAGAAAUUCGGAGUAUUGAUUUUAUCGUUUUUUAGAUAAAUGUCAUCUUUAACAAUAAUUUAUUUCUUCCUUUUAAACCUAUAGUCUCGUGUAAAAUACUACCAUCGCUAGAAAUAACUAUUGAUAAACCUAUUCGGACCCAAGAUUACUUGAAUUAAUAGAAAAUUUAACAUUGUCAGUCAUGAGACGUCAAUUUUCUAAAUAGAAAAAAUCAAGAAAAGAACGCUAACACAAAAACCUUACUUACUUUCAAACUACUACUUAGUCCAAUUACAAAUUACAAUAAAAACACAACCUAAAACCAACACCAAUAAAACACAAUUCCCAAAAACAAAUUUAACAUGAUUUCUCUUGUUCACAGCUCCACCGAACGCAGUCGAGAUCGCAAACCACCCUCCAAGCUCGAAGUUGGAAGUCAAGGAAGGCGAGGACGUGUCUCUCGAGUGUCUCGUGAAGAAUGCCAAGCCAGCAGCCAAGAUCGUAUGGUUCAGAGGGAACGUCGAGCUCAAAGGAGACAAAGUUUCCAAAGAAGAGAUCCGUGAGGUGGAGAAUGCGAAUGGAAACCCGAAGUCUGUCCGGUACACCACCAUAUCGAGGGUCAAUUUCAAGGCGACGGCUGAUGACGAUUACGCUGAUUUUACCUGUGAAGCGAGACACGAGGCGUUGCAGAGAGACAGUCCUAUGAGGAGUACAGUCCAGCUCAGUGUGUUAUAUCCACCAGGAGCACCCUACAUCGAGGGUUACGCUGAAGGGGAGACAGUACGCCGCGGACAGAGCUUGGAGCUGGUCUGCAGGAGUCGCGGUGGAAACCCACCAGCUCAGCUCAUCUGGUACAAGAAUGGGGAGCAAAUUAGAAUGGCUUAUCGGUAAGUCUUUUACACAGGUAUAUUUGGUGAUAGAAACAAAGCUUAAAAUAUUAUGGUGAGGUAAAACUACAAGCUAGCUCCCGAAGCAAGAUUUUUGCAGUUGAGGAAGCAAACAUUACAAUACACGGCGUUACGCGGCGUUUAUUUGCCAUACUGCGUGGUGUCCCCACUGUCGUGCUUCGAUCCUCGCGUAGGACAAGAAUUUGUGUGAUC
Long non-coding RNA from Trichoplusia ni (cabbage looper), 1466 nucleotides. RefSeq lists it as uncharacterized. The record is from RefSeq and is a predicted model, not a curated record. NCBI's taxonomy places the organism in Eukaryota, Metazoa, Arthropoda, Insecta, Lepidoptera, Noctuidae. The transcript has 4 exons.